GGGCCGGUAGCUCAGUUGGUAGAGCAACGGACUUUUAAUCCGUGUGUCGUGGGUUCGAAUCCCACCCGGCUCACCA
RNAcentral lists this transfer RNA (76 nucleotides) under Chloroflexota bacterium. RNAcentral's name for it is "Chloroflexi bacterium tRNA-Lys". It matches the Rfam family "tRNA". From Rfam's summary of the family: Transfer RNA (tRNA) molecules are approximately 80 nucleotides in length. Their secondary structure includes four short double-helical elements and three loops (D, anti-codon, and T loops). Lineage: Bacteria; Bacillati; Chloroflexota. The record is from RNAcentral. RNAcentral also lists the same sequence under 2 other names.